This 460-nucleotide ribosomal RNA is filed under the name uncultured bacterium. RNAcentral describes it as "partial 16S ribosomal RNA". It matches the Rfam family "Bacterial small subunit ribosomal RNA", at positions 338 to 795 of the family's 1533-position model. The record is from RNAcentral.
CCUACGGGAGGCAGCAGUGAGGAAUAUUGGUCAAUGGCCGUAAGGCUGAACCAGCCAAGUCGCGUGACGGAAGAAGGUUCUAUGGUUUGUAAACUUCUUUUAUAGGGGAAUAAAGGUAUCCUGGUGUGGAUAUUUGCAUGUACCCUAUGUAUAAGCAUCGGAUAACUUCGUGCCAGCAGCCGCGCUAAUACGGAGGAUGCGAGCUGUAGCCGGAUUGAUUGGGUUUAAAGGGUGCGUAGGUUGUUUUUUAAGUCAGCGGUGAAAGUUUGUGGCUCAACCAUAAAAUUGCCGUGGAAACUGGAAGACUUGAGUGUGUUUGAGGUAGGCGGAAUGCGUGGUGUAGCGGUGAAAUGCAUAGAUAUCACGCAGAACUCCGAUUGCGAAGGCAGCUUACUAAGCCAUAACUGACACUGAAGCACGAAAGCGUGGGGAGCAAACAGGAUUAGAUACCCGAGUAGUC